Molecule: ribosomal RNA, 468 nt
Filed under: uncultured bacterium
Lineage: Bacteria
Description: partial 16S ribosomal RNA
Rfam family: Bacterial small subunit ribosomal RNA
Source: RNAcentral
GACGAACGCUGGCGGCGUGCUUAACACAUGCAAGUCGAACGGAAAGGCCCUGCUUUUGUGGGGUGCUCGAGUGGCGAACGGGUGAGUAACACGUGAGUAACCUGCCCUUGACUUUGGGAUAACUUCAGGAAACUGGGGCUAAUACCGGAUAGGAGCUCCUGCUGCAUGGUGGGGGUUGGAAAGUUUCGGCGGUUGGGGAUGGACUCGCGGCUUAUGAGCUUGUUGGUGGGGUAGUGGCUUACCAAGGCUUUGACGGGUAGCCGGCCUGAGAGGGUGACCGGCCACAUUGGGACUGAGAUACGGACCAGACUGCUACGGGAGGCAGCAGUGGGGAAUAUUGCACAAUGGGCGGAAGCCUGAUGCAGCAACGCCGCGUGCGGGAUGACGGCCUUCGGGUUGUAAACAGCUUUCGCAUGUGACGAAGAGUGCGUGACGGUAAUGGGUCAAGAAGCACCGGCUAACUACGUG